Molecule: ribosomal RNA, 390 nt
Filed under: uncultured bacterium
Lineage: Bacteria
Description: bacterial SSU rRNA
Rfam family: Bacterial small subunit ribosomal RNA
Source: RNAcentral
AUUGAACGCUGGCGGCAUGCCUUACACAUGCAAGUCGAACGGCAGCACGGGGGCAACCCUGGUGGCGAGUGGCGAACGGGUGAGUAACAUAUCGGAACAUACCCUAGAGUGUGGGAUAACGUAGCGAAAGUUACGCUAAUACCGCAUACGAUCUAAGGAUGAAAGUGGGGGAUCUUCGGACCUCAUGCUCAUGGAGUGGCCGAUAUCUGAUUAGCUAGUUGGUGAGGUAAAGGCUCACCAAGGCGACGAUCAGUAGCUGGUUUGAGAGAACGACCAGCCACACUGGAACUGAGACACGGUCCAGACUCCUACGGGAGGCAGCAGUGGGGAAUUUUUGGACAAUGGGGGGCGAACCCUGAUCCAGCAAUGCCGCGUGAGUGAAGAAGGCCU